RNAcentral lists this ribosomal RNA (253 nucleotides) under uncultured bacterium. RNAcentral's name for it is "partial 16S ribosomal RNA". It matches the Rfam family "Bacterial small subunit ribosomal RNA", at positions 524 to 776 of the family's 1533-position model. The record is from RNAcentral.
GACAGAGGGUGCAAACGUUGUUCGGAAUUACUGGGCUUAAAGAGUUCGUAGGCGGCGCAGAAAGUAGGGUGUGAAAGCCCUCGGCUCAACCGAGGAAUUGCGCUCUAAACUACUGUGCUUGAGGAAUCUAGAGGUGAGCGGAACUGAUGGUGGAGCGGUGAAAUGCGUUGAUAUCAUCAGGAACACCGGAGGCGAAGGCGGCUCACUGGGGAUUUUCUGACGCUGAGGAACGAAAGCCAGGGGAGCGAACGGG